CUGGACCUCGGAUCAGGCCAGGCUACCCGCUGAAUUUAAGCAUAUUAAUAAGCGGAGGAAAAGAAACUAACAAGGAUUCCCCCAGUAACGGCGAGCGAAGCGGGAAUAGCUCAAAUUUGAAAUCUCCGGUGCCUGCACCGGCGAAUUGUAGUCUGUAGGGCCAGUUUCGCCCGAGACAGUGUCCCCAAAGUCGUCCUGGAAAGGCGAGCCGGAGAGGGUGAGAGCCCCGUACGCGGGGGCGCUGUCGAGGGUAAGAUCUGUGCCCGAAGAGUCGGGUUGUUUGGGAUUGCAGCCCAAAAUGGGUGGUAAACUCCAUCUAAAGCUAAAUACCGGCACGAGACCGAUAGCG
This 349-nucleotide ribosomal RNA is filed under the name Phyllospongia foliascens. RNAcentral's name for it is "eukaryotic LSU rRNA". It matches the Rfam family "Eukaryotic large subunit ribosomal RNA", at positions 1 to 342 of the family's 3401-position model. The record is from RNAcentral. Lineage: Eukaryota; Metazoa; Porifera; Demospongiae; Dictyoceratida; Thorectidae.